This 426-nucleotide ribosomal RNA is filed under the name uncultured bacterium. Its description in RNAcentral is "bacterial SSU rRNA". It matches the Rfam family "Bacterial small subunit ribosomal RNA", at positions 356 to 773 of the family's 1533-position model. The record is from RNAcentral.
AGGGAAUCUUCCGCAAUGGACGAAAGUCUGACGGAGCAACGCCGCGUGAGUGAAGAAGGUCUUCGGAUCGUAAAACUCUGUUGUUAGGGAAGAACAAGUAUCGUUCGAAUAGGGCGGCACCUUGACGGUACCUAACCAGAAAGCCACGGCUAACUACGUGCCAGCAGCCGCGGUAAUACGUAGGUGGCAAGCGUUGUCCGGAAUUAUUGGGCGUAAAGCGCGCGCAGGCGGUUUCUUAAGUCUGAUGUGAAAGCCCCCGGCUCAACCGGGGAAGGUCAUUGGAAACUGGGGAACUUGAGUGCAGAAGAGGAGAGUGGAAUUCCACGUGUAGCGGUGAAAUGCGUAGAGAUGUGGAGGAACACCAGUGGCGAAGGCGACUCUCUGGUCUGUAACUGACGCUGAGGCGCGAAAGCGUGGGGAGCGAAC